GUGCUUGUUUUGGCAGCAUGUAUACUAAAACUGGAAUAAUACAGAGAAGAUUAGCAUAACCCUUGCACAAAAAUAACACUCACAUUUGUGAACUAGUCCAUAAUUUU
RNAcentral lists this small nuclear RNA (107 nucleotides) under Carlito syrichta (Philippine tarsier). Lineage: Eukaryota; Metazoa; Chordata; Mammalia; Primates; Tarsiidae. The record is from RNAcentral.